AAGAGAGGCCCGAUGGCAACAUAAACUGCUAACUUAAUGUCCCCUUGGUUAAACCCCAAGGCUCUCUUG
Molecule: transfer RNA, 69 nt
Filed under: Coryphaenoides alateralis
Lineage: Eukaryota; Metazoa; Chordata; Actinopteri; Gadiformes; Macrouridae
Description: tRNA-Ser
Source: RNAcentral